CCUUCGGGGUUGUAAAGCUCUUUCGGCCGGAACGAAAUCGACUAGGCCAAUACCCUGGUCGGAUGACGGUACCGGAAGAAGAAGCACCGGCUAACUACGUGCCAGCAGCCGCGGUAAUACGUAGGGUGCAGGCGUUAAUCGGAAUUACUGGGCGUAAAGCGUGCGCAGGCGGCUUCCUAAGUCAGAUGUGAAAUCCCCGGGCUCAACCUGGGAACUGCGUUUGAAACUGGGAGGCUAGAGUGCGGCAGAGGGAGGUGGAAUUCCACGUGUAGCAGUGAAAUGCGUAGAUAUGUGGAGGAACACCGAUGGCGAAGGCAGCCUCCUGGGCCAGCACUGACGCUCAUGCACGAAAGCGUGGGGAGCAAACAGGAUUAGAUACCCUGGUAGUCCACGCCCUAAACUAUGUCGACUAGUUGUUGGGGGAGUCUGUCCCUCAGUAACGUAGCUAACGCGUGAAGUCGACCGCCUGGGGAGUACGGUCGCAAGAUUAAAACUCAAAGGAAUUGACGGGGA
RNAcentral lists this ribosomal RNA (513 nucleotides) under uncultured bacterium. RNAcentral's name for it is "bacterial SSU rRNA". It matches the Rfam family "Bacterial small subunit ribosomal RNA", at positions 415 to 919 of the family's 1533-position model. The record is from RNAcentral.